Cucumis sativus (cucumber) is the source of this 1157-nucleotide long non-coding RNA. RefSeq lists it as uncharacterized. The record is from RefSeq and is a predicted model, not a curated record. Lineage: Eukaryota; Viridiplantae; Streptophyta; Magnoliopsida; Cucurbitales; Cucurbitaceae. The transcript is spliced from 2 exons.
UUGAAAUGAUAAAUAUAAGAAUGACAUUAUAGCUACUUUGUUUUACAAUGCAUCUAGAACAUAUCGUGAAUCAACGUUCUCAGAAGCGUGGAGAAGUAUUCUUGCAUUUCCUAAGGAUUCAGGAAAAUAUUUAAACGAUGUUGGAAUAACACGAUGGUCUCGUUUUCACUGUCCAAGAAGACGAUAUAAUAUGAUGACAACAAAUAUAGUAGAGUCCAUGAAUUCUAUACUGAAAGAACCUAGAGAUUUGCCUAUUGCUUCAUUCCUUGAACAUGUUCGAGCUUUGCUACAACGUUGGUUUUGGGAGCGUCGAGAAGAAGGCAUUAAAGUGACGUCUACAUUGACUAAAUGGGCAGAGUUAGUUCUACAAAAGAAACAAGAACGAGCUUUGACAAUGAAAGUCAACCCAAUUGAUUGUUACCAAUUCCAUGUUAAAGAUUUAGAUAAAGAGGAGGUCGUAAAUCUUCAUACUCAAGAGUGCACUUGUAUGGAGUUUCAAGCUGAGCAACGACCAUGCGCACAUGCCAUUGCUGUUGCACGGGAUCACAAUAUAAAUGUUUAUAGCUUAUGUGCUAACUAUUACACUAAUGAAUGUUUGUUGGCAGCAUAUUCGGAGGUCGUCUACCCAGUUGGGAAUCAGUCGGAAUGGAAGACAAGUGAAGAAUAUGUACAUAUGAUUGUCUUACCUCCGAAAGUAGUGUAAAGAGUUGGUCGACCAAAGAAAAAUAGGAUUCCAAGUGUCGGUGAAGCACCAAAAUUGCAUAAACGUGGUCGAUGUAAAGAAACAGGCCACAAUAGAUUAACGUGUACCAAUCCAGUUUCAUACAUUCAGAAGUCGAGCAUACAAGAUUAGUACCCGUCUUGGUGGAAGAUGCUUAUAAAAUUGUGUCCUGUGUUGUUUGCAAGAUCACUAAAGUCAUCUCACUGACAAUUCUAAGUUGAAGACUUUUCUUCUGCAACUUCAAGACUUUCCUUCUCUUUUUAUUUAUCCUACUGUUAACUAUUUAUAGAAUAUUUACUCAUUGUAUUUUUUUUUUACAAUGUUUGUAUUACGUUGCGUGUAACAACCAUUUUAUAUGGUAUUUGGUUUUUAACAGAAAUGCUCUCCUUUGGCAUCUAUUCUAUAAAUUUCUGUUGACUGCAAAUUGUGCAAAAUA